UCCCUGGAGGACUAGUGGUUAGGCCACAGCGCUCUCACCACUGUGGCCAGGGUUCGACCACAGCCACUGGAG
Molecule: non-coding RNA, 72 nt
Organism: Pangasianodon gigas (Mekong giant catfish)
Lineage: Eukaryota; Metazoa; Chordata; Actinopteri; Siluriformes; Pangasiidae
Source: the annotation of a GenBank genome assembly